Molecule: ribosomal RNA, 406 nt
Filed under: uncultured bacterium
Lineage: Bacteria
Description: partial 16S ribosomal RNA
Rfam family: Bacterial small subunit ribosomal RNA
Source: RNAcentral
AUUGAACGCUGGCGGCAGGCCUAACACAUGCAAGUCGAACGAGUGGCGGACGGGUGAGCAAUGUCUUGGAAACUGCCCGAUCGAGGGGGAACACUACUGGAACCGGUAGCUAAUAACGCAUACCAUCGGAUGUUCCCAGAUGGGAUUAGCUAGUAGGUGGGGUAACGGCUCACCUUGGCGCAGAUCCCUAGCUGGUCUGAGAGGGUUACCAGCCACACUGGAACUGAGAAACGGUCCAGACGCCUACGGGAGGCAGCAGUGGGGAAUAGUGCACCAUGGGCGAAAGCCUGAUGCAGCCAUGCCGCGUGUAUGAAGAAGGCCUUCGGGUUGUAAAGUACUGUCAGCGGGGAGGCGUUACUCGCAGAAGAAGCACCGGCUAACUCCGUGCCAGCAGCCGCGGUAAUUC